Molecule: ribosomal RNA, 467 nt
Filed under: uncultured bacterium
Lineage: Bacteria
Description: partial 16S ribosomal RNA
Rfam family: Bacterial small subunit ribosomal RNA
Source: RNAcentral
GACGAACGCUGGCGGCGUGCUUAACACAUGCAAGUCGAACGGAAAGGCCCUGCUUUUGUGGGGUGCUCGAGUGGCGAACGGGUGAGUAACACGUGAGUAACCUGCCCUUGACUUUGGGAUAACUUCAGGAAACUGGGGCUAAUACCGGAUAGGAGCUCCUGCUGCAUGGUGGGGGUUGGAAAGUUUCGGCGGUUGGGGAUGGACUCGCGGCUUAUCAGCUUGUUGGUGGGGUAGUGGCUUACCAAGGCUUUGACGGGUAGCCGGCCUGAGAGGGUGACCGGCCACAUUGGGACUGAGAGACGGCCCAGACUCCUACGGGAGGCAGCAGUGGGGAAUAUUGCACAAUGGGCGGAAGCCUGAUGCAGCAACGCCGCGUGCGGGAUGACGGCCUUCGGGUUGUAAACCGCUUUCGCCUGUGACGAAGCGUGAGUGACGGUAAUGGGGAAAGAAGCACCGGCGAACUACGU